CCUACGGGAGGCAGCAGUGAGGAAUAUUGGACAAUGGGCGCAAGCCUGAUCCAGCCAUGCCGCGUGCAGGAAGACGGUCCUAUGGAUUGUAAACUGCUUUUAUACAGGAAGAAACACCUCUACGUGUAGAGACUUGACGGUACUGUAUGAAUAAGCAUCGGCUAACUCCGUGCCAGCAGCCGCGGUAAUACGGAGGAUGCAAGCGUUAUCCGGAAUCAUUGGGUUUAAAGGGUCCGUAGGCGGUUUAAUAAGUCAGUGGUGAAAGCCCAUCGCUCAACGAUGGAACGGCCAUUGAUACUGUUAAACUUGAAUUAUUAGGAAGUAACUAGAAUAUGUAGUGUAGCGGUGAAAUGCUUAGAGAUUACAUGGAAUACCAAUUGCGAAGGCAGGUUACUACUAAUAUAUUGACGCUGAUGGACGAAAGCGUGGGGAGCGAACAGGAUUAGAUACCCUGGUAGUCCACGCCGUAAACGAUGGAUACUAGCUGUUCGGAGCAAUCUGAGUGGCUAAGCGAAAGUGAUAAGUAUCCCACCUGGGGAGUACGUUGCAAGAAUGAAACUUAAAUGAAUUGAGG
Molecule: ribosomal RNA, 574 nt
Filed under: uncultured bacterium
Lineage: Bacteria
Description: bacterial SSU rRNA
Rfam family: Bacterial small subunit ribosomal RNA
Source: RNAcentral